This 497-nucleotide ribosomal RNA is filed under the name uncultured bacterium. Its description in RNAcentral is "partial 16S ribosomal RNA". It matches the Rfam family "Bacterial small subunit ribosomal RNA", at positions 28 to 507 of the family's 1533-position model. The record is from RNAcentral.
GAUGAACGCUGGCGGCGUGCCUAAUACAUGCAAGUCGAGCGAACAGAUGAGGAGCUUGCUCCUCUGACGUUAGCGGCGGACGGGUGAGUAACACGUGGAUAACCUACCUAUAAGACUGGGAUAACUUCGGGAAACCGGAGCUAAUACCGGAUAAUAUAUUGAACCGCAUGGUUCAAUAGUGAAAGACGGUUUUGCUGUCACUUAUAGAUGGAUCCGCGCCGCAUUAGCUAGUUGGUAAGGUAACGGCUUACCAAGGUAACGAUGCGUAGCCGACCUGAGAGGGUGAUCGGCCACACUGGAACUGAGACACGGUCCAGACUCCUACGGGAGGCAGCAGUAGGGAAUCUUCCGCAAUGGGCGAAAGCUUGACGGAGCAACGCCGCGUGAGUGAUGAAGGUCUUCGGAUCGUAAAACUCUGUUAUUAGGGAAGAACAAAUGUGUAAGUAACUAUGCACGUCUUGACGGUACCUAAUCAGAAAGCCACGGCUAACUACGUG